This 1233-nucleotide unclassified non-coding RNA is filed under the name Hevea brasiliensis (rubber tree). The record is from RNAcentral. Lineage: Eukaryota; Viridiplantae; Streptophyta; Magnoliopsida; Malpighiales; Euphorbiaceae.
CUAUUACUCAUAUUUGCUUCAACUGUUCUUGAUUGCAACUAAAAGAUAAAAAGCUUGAAUUUAUUGGUCUAAUAUUGCACAUCUACUAAGACAAGAAAGGGAUUUGCCUCGCACAGAAUUGUUGCAAUUUCCACUUAAAGUGCUGUCAUUAAGAGCACAAUUCAACUUCAAUAAACAAUAGAAAAACACUAACUAGACUUUUUAUUUGCUAAAAAUAAAACUGACAAACUGCCACUGACUGGAAGAAUCCUGAGCCUAAAGGCAUUCUCCAGGCCCUUUUAUUUUUUUGAAGGGUAUCUCCAGAGACCUCAAUUUGUGCCACCAAGAACCUUCUUGAGCUUCUUAACCUGAGCAUCAUCGAGGAAGGUAACCAUCUCUAUUAUUUCAGAAGGCAAAUCGUUAGCGAACAAGGCAAAGUCAAGGAUCUGGAGACCUGGUCUUGCACUACUGAAGCUAACAAAUGCAAGGGCAGGAGUCCCACCUGCAUUUAUUUGGAAGUGCAAUAACCCUUGUGGAAAUACCAUAAUAUCUCCCUUCCUAAGAGAUUUGAAGUAAACAACAUUAGCAGAAGUAAUAAACCCAGCACAGAUUGACCCUUGCACCACAAUUAGGACUUCUGAAGCUCCCGGGUGGGUAUGCAUAGGAAUUACACCACCAACUGCCAAGUCUAAACGAGCCAAGGAAAUUCCAAGGCCGUUUACGCCAGGGAAUUGGUCAACAAAAGCCGGUGUCACAGCAGCUUUGAUAAGUUUUGAGAUGUUACCAGGACUUCCCAGGCCAGAGUAAACAAAAUCGUUUACUGAAACCGUAUCAGGCUUCUUGCAAGAGUAGCCCGCAGGGCCAUCAGGACCUGACAAGUCUGCGACGCAGAAGUCAUUCACUGCAGCAUAAGAAGAAGAAGAAAGGACAGAAAAGAUGACAAAGAUAUAGAGAAUCAUCUUCCUCUGCAACAAUUGGUCUAUGUUCUUUGUCGGCGCGACCAGUGGAGAUAUGCUACCAUUUAUAUAGAGUGGAAUCACAUUAAUACACAUUCAUAAAGUUAAACAAAAAUAAUGAUAAAAUUAUUAACAUAAACUUAUUAUGUCAAUAUGUAUAUGAUAAAUGGACUGAAAAUUUAUUUAAUUAAUGGUUUAUUAAUUAUAAAAAUAAGCUUGGUCUAGUGACAAAAGAUAUAUUACUUAUCUAGUACGUUCAGAUUUGAGUCCUCACUCUCUCAAUCAUCUUACCACAAAA